Molecule: unclassified non-coding RNA, 713 nt
Filed under: Hevea brasiliensis (rubber tree)
Lineage: Eukaryota; Viridiplantae; Streptophyta; Magnoliopsida; Malpighiales; Euphorbiaceae
Source: RNAcentral
GGCAGUUUAAAAUAUAACAUUCCAAUGCAACAAAUUUCAACUCAUUCAAGAAACAAAACAAACUUAAGACCCAUAAAAGAGAAGAAAAAGAAACCAAAUGAAGAUGAAAGAAGGGUUAAACACAUGAAUUGUGAUCAUAUUAGACAUGAGUUUCAGGAGAGCAAUAAGCAGGACGGAAAGCCAAGGGACCUGCAGCGUAGAUAACAGCCUCAUAAUGACUUCCUCGCAGUAUCUUGUUUUCAUAGCGAAGAGGAGCACCAUUGAUUCCAUAGUUAACAUUGGAGAGGAGACUGCAAUUUGCAAGAGGAGAUGAAACAAGCUUCACAUGGCAAGAUUGAAGAGGAUGGUCCAAAAUGUUGUUAUCCAUCUUGAAGCCAUUAAGUUGUGCAUAGAAGUAGCCAUGUUCAUUAGUUUCAUAUGCCUUGUAGUAACUCACUUGUUUCAUGUGGUUUUUACAAAUGACACUAACUUUUGCUGAAGGUAUUGGUUCAGCCCCAUUCAAAGACCAUGAACCAUAGUGGUCACAGCUCUGGCAGUAGACCAUACCUUCAACAACUACAUCAACUAUCUUCUCUCCUGGUUUGGUUGGAGCACUUUCAUAUGCAGAUAUUGAAGGGAAGGCCAAAGGGAGCAGCAGGAGAGAGCAGAUGGCUAUUGUGAGCUGGUUGAUUGCCAUAUUCAUGGAGAGGGUUUUGGAGAUUAAUGGAGAUUAG